RNAcentral lists this ribosomal RNA (454 nucleotides) under uncultured bacterium. RNAcentral's name for it is "partial 16S ribosomal RNA". It matches the Rfam family "Bacterial small subunit ribosomal RNA", at positions 28 to 507 of the family's 1533-position model. The record is from RNAcentral.
GAUGAACGCUGACAGAAUGCUUAACACAUGCAAGUCUACUUGAACUUCGGUUUGGGUGGCGGACGGGUGAGUAACGCGUAAAGAACUUGCCUCACAGUUAGGGACAACAUUUGGAAACGAAUGCUAAUACCUGAUAUUAUGAUUUUAGGGCAUCCUACAAUUAUGAAAGCUAUAUGCGCUGUGAGAGAGCUUUGCGUCCCAUUAGCUAGUUGGAGAGGUAACGGCUCACCAAGGCGAUGAUGGGUAGCCGGCCUGAGAGGGUGAACGGCCACAAGGGGACUGAGACACGGCCCUUACUCCUACGGGAGGCAGAAGGGGGGAAUAUUGGACAAUGGACCAAAAGUCUGAUCCAGCAAUUCUGUGUGCACGAUGACGUUUUUCGGAAUGUAAAGUGCUUUCAGUUGGGAAGAAAAAAAUGACGGUACCAACAGAAGAAGUGACGGCUAAAUACGUG